RNAcentral lists this long non-coding RNA (468 nucleotides) under Strongylocentrotus purpuratus (purple sea urchin). Its description in RNAcentral is "uncharacterized LOC115920701, transcript variant X2". Lineage: Eukaryota; Metazoa; Echinodermata; Echinoidea; Camarodonta; Strongylocentrotidae. The record is from RNAcentral.
UAUCCAGAGUUUCCAAGCACAAUUUUUGUAGGGUGUUUUCUGCAGCUGUGACCCAUGCAUACACACCCUAGCCUCCAGCACAGCAUUGACCACCCAGCUAAUCUCAUUCAGCAUUUUCCUUGGCAACAUUGAGGCAGCAUUUGAGAAGAAUUAACCUUCAACUCACCAACCUGCUCUUAGGCAUUUUCUUCAAGGAUGCUAUCCACAGAUGCCAAGUAAGUGGAACAGAUAUACGAGGUGUGUCAGAAAAGUUCCAGGACUGAUAUCACAAAAGAAAUAUAUACCCAAAUUACAGACUUUGAGUUUUCCCUUUCGAAGCAAUCCCACUGGAGUCUUACACAAUGUCCCAUCUUUCUCUGCCAUGCCUCCAUGCACUCCUGAAUGAUUUUUCUUGGAUCCUCUGCAGCUUUUUCCGUCCUCAUGGCCAUGUUUACAUCUUCCACAUUUGUAACUCUUUGUGCGACCAAC